CGUCGGAGCUAUACAUGCAGUCGAGCGAACAGAUGAGAAGCUUGCUUCUCUGAUGUUAGCGGCGGACGGGUGAGUAACACGUGGGUAACCUACCUAUAAGACUGGGAUAACUCCGGGAAACCGGGGCUAAUACCGGAUAAUAUUUUGAACCGCAUGGUUCAAUAGUGAAAGACGGUUUCGGCUGUCACUUAUAGAUGGACCCGCGCCGUAUUAGCUAGUUGGUAAGGUAACGGCUUACCAAGGCGACGAUACGUAGCCGACCUGAGAGGGUGAUCGGCCACACUGGAACUGAGACACGGUCCAGACUCCUACGGGAGGCAGCAGUAGGGAAUCUUCCGCAAUGGGCGAAAGCCUGACGGAGCAACGCCGCGUGAGUGAUGAAGGUCUUCGGAUCGUAAAACUCUGUUGUUAGGGAAGAACAAAUUUGUUAGUAACUGAACAAGUCUUGACGGUACCUAACCAGAAAGCCACGGCUAACUACGUGCCAGCAGCCGCGGUAAUACGUAGGUGGCAAGCGUUAUGCGGAAUUAUUGGGCGUAAAGCGCGCGUAGGCGGUUUCUUAAGUCUGAUGUGAAAGCCCACGGCUCAUCCGUGCAGGCUCUUUGGAAACUGAAAAACUUGAGUGCACAAAGAGAGAGAGUGCAUUCCCGUGUGUAGCUGUGCAAUGCACAGACAUAUGACCGAACACCAUGGGGAUACGCGCGCUCUCUCUGUUGUGCACUGGAUGUCGGAUGUGCCAAUGUCGCGUGCAUCAAUGAGACUUAGAGACCUUCGGAUU
This 778-nucleotide ribosomal RNA is filed under the name Staphylococcus aureus. Its description in RNAcentral is "bacterial SSU rRNA". It matches the Rfam family "Bacterial small subunit ribosomal RNA", at positions 40 to 794 of the family's 1533-position model. The record is from RNAcentral. Lineage: Bacteria; Bacillati; Bacillota; Bacilli; Caryophanales; Staphylococcaceae.